GGCGCUAAGGCGGGCGCGGGGCCGCGGGUGCGGAAAGCGCUAGGUCCAGCCCUGCUGGGAGUUCUCUUCCACCACACAGAUUUGCGGAAGAAUCUGACCGUGGACGAGGGCACCAUGAAGGUGGAGGUGCUGCCUGCCCUGACCGACAACUACAUGUACCUGGUCAUCGAUGAUGAGACCAAGGAGGCUGCCAUCGUGGACCCGGUGCAGCCCCAGAAGGUCGUGGACGCGGCGAGAAAGCACGGGGUGAAACUGACCACAGUGCUCACCACCCACCACCACUGGGACCAUGCUGGCGGGAAUGAGAAACUGGUCAAGCUGGAGUCGGGACUGAAGGUGUACGGGGGUGAUGACCGUAUCGGGGCCCUGACGCACAAAAUCACUCACCUGUCCACGCUGCAGGUAAGGAGUGAGCCCUGGAGGUGCUCCAACGUGGCCCUGCCAGGAGCGUGAGGUGGGGGGUGGU
Molecule: small RNA, 466 nt
Filed under: Pongo abelii (Sumatran orangutan)
Lineage: Eukaryota; Metazoa; Chordata; Mammalia; Primates; Hominidae
Description: retained intron
Source: RNAcentral